Molecule: ribosomal RNA, 253 nt
Filed under: uncultured bacterium
Lineage: Bacteria
Description: partial 16S ribosomal RNA
Rfam family: Bacterial small subunit ribosomal RNA
Source: RNAcentral
UACGUAGGUGGCGAGCGUUGUCCGGAUUUAUUGGGCGUAAAGAGCGUGUAGGCGGCUUGGAAGGUCAGCUGUGAAAACUCGAGGCUCAACCUCGAGACGUCGGUUGAAACCACCUGGCUAGAGUCCGGAAGAGGAGUGUGGAAUUCCCGGUGUAGCGGUGAAAUGCGCAGAUAUCGGGAAGAACACCCGUGGCGAAGGCGGCACUCUGGGACGGUACUGACGCUGAGACGCGAAAGCGUGGGGAGCGAACAGG